GGCGGCAGGCUUAACACAUGCAAGUCGAGCGGUAACAGGGGGUGCUUGCACCCCGCUGACNAGCGGCGGACGGGUGAGUAAUGCAUAGGAAACUGCCCAGUAGUGGGGGAUAGCCCGGGGAAACCCGGAUUAAUACCGCGUACGCCCUUCGGGGGAAAGCAGGGGCUCUUCGGACCUUGCGCUAUUGGAUGUGCCUAUGUCGGAUUAGCUAGUUGGUGGGGUAAAGGCCUACCAAGGCGACGAUCCGUGGCUGGUCUGAGAGGAUGAUCAGCCACAUCGGGACUGAGACACGGCCCGAACUCCUACGGGAGGCAGCAGUGGGGAAUAUUGGACAAUGGGGGCAACCCUGAUCCAGCCAUGCCGCGNUGUUGUGAAGAAAGGCUUUCGGGNUUGUUAAAGCCACUUUCAGUAAGGAAGGAAAGGCNUUGAAGGGUUAAAUA
Molecule: ribosomal RNA, 440 nt
Filed under: uncultured bacterium
Lineage: Bacteria
Description: bacterial SSU rRNA
Rfam family: Bacterial small subunit ribosomal RNA
Source: RNAcentral